GCCUAUACUUUUUUUAGAAAANUA
RNAcentral lists this transfer RNA (24 nucleotides) under Nicrophorus quadripunctatus. Its description in RNAcentral is "partial tRNA-Leu". Lineage: Eukaryota; Metazoa; Arthropoda; Insecta; Coleoptera; Silphidae. The record is from RNAcentral.